Ciona intestinalis (vase tunicate) is the source of this 2066-nucleotide non-coding RNA. The record is from RefSeq and is a predicted model, not a curated record. NCBI's taxonomy places the organism in Eukaryota, Metazoa, Chordata, Ascidiacea, Phlebobranchia, Cionidae.
ACAAGCCAUUGUGUUGACGUUUUAGAUUACAUUGGUGUUGUAACAUCGUUUGGAGUUCGUUUAUGUCUGAUUUGUAAAAAUGCGGAAGAAGUUAAAGUAUUCUAGUCUUGAUAUGCGCGUCGACGACGGCUUAAACCGAGUUUUUUUGAUUUGUGAAAAUCAAGUAAUAUGAAAGAGCGGCUAUUAUAUUUUAACGUUCGUACGUUUGAAUAAAAUUUGCGUGAAAUGAAGACGAAAGAAGAAUAGAGCUGGGUAUCAGAGGUCCAAUGGUAAUGAGUUUUUGAAGUCUUUUGUUGUUGACUUGUGAUGUCUGAUUCUUGAAACAUACAAUGGGCCGCGUAUAACUACUGUAUUGGAGAUUGCGCGGCUUUCUUUGCGAAGAGUGUGUACUAAUGAAAUGGGCUAUUUCUGUAUACCUUUUUAGUGUAUAACUGAAACUAUAGCCAACCCGCUGUCAGGAUUUAAAGAUACAAAUAAAGGUUCAAACAGAGCGCGCUUCUUAAUGUUAAAAUCCGAUGGCAGAUGAUGCAGAUAUUAGGAUUCUAAUGAUGCGAUUGUGGGCGAUUUAUGAUUAUUCGAUUGAUUAAUAGGACGAGUCUACAUCUGUUUAAGGGAUCGGAACCACAACCGCUAUUUAUUAGGGUUGCAGAAAAAUCAUGAGAGUGUUAUAUACGGUGGAUCCUAUUAAUUCAAGCAGGUUAACCUAACCCGAGAGCGCCAAGACAUUUUUACUGCUUUGUUACUAUGUUCUUGCCUAUACUAGUUUAAAAACAAGUUUAAAAGUUCUUGUCGUAUGUGGUAUGCAAGUUACAGAAAAAUACCGCUGGUUUCUAUGUGUCUUAAAGGUUGGGACUCUUAAGAUUUCAAUGUUUGCUGUAGUGAUGUUUUAUUCUUGAGUAGAUAAAGAUGUAAUACGUGUAACUUAUUUUCUGAAUGUGGGUGACUGCCUUUUAAGAAAAUACCAAAACUAACAAGAAAUCUACUUAAAUCAAUACAAAAUCAAUAUUUAUUUCAAAAUCAAUCUUUAGUUAAAAGAUCCAAUUAAUUUCAGCGGGCAAAGCAUAUUCCAUGCAGCCAGACUGCUUUGAUCUUGUAAGCAAAGUAAAUUUUAAUUGUUUCCUUCGUAAUAGUUCACUGAAACCGAAGUUAUUUCUAUGCGUUAUGGAAUUUAAACGACAUCCUGUUAUCCCUGUGGUUGAUUUGAAAUCCUGAAGAAACCAAUUUAAUUUGUAUAAUAAAGGUGUUUACUUUGUAGAAAUCUAUAUUAGUUAAAAAGCUUGCUAAAAAACAUAUUGUCAUAUAGAUUCAUUAGAGCGAAUCCAAUUGUGGAAUAAAUCCUGAAUUUCCAGACAAUGGGUUUAAAAUUGCUCCUACAAAGAGUUAUGUUGUGUAAGACUCCAGAAAACAAGUUGCAUGAAUUCCCAAGCACAAGAUUCUAAAGUUAUCAUAGCUUAAUUUCGUGUGAAGUAAUGUUUUUAGGUCAAGUGUUGUCCAACUAUUUUUAAUGUCUAUGCAGAAUACUUAUGGAGACCAACAUUCAAGAGGAAAGCUUUUGGAAAAUGUGGCAAAUUAUUCAGAUAACUGGAUUUAUAAACUUUGAUACAAUAGAGAUAUUUAAAAUGAAGCCUGUUCUAAAGUUUUUGCUUUAUUUUAAGCCUGGUUUCCCUGGUGUUAGUCUUAGAUUAAGCUAAGUUGGUAAAGCAUUCAAAAUAUUUCGUAGUUUAAAAACUAGGCUUAGUGCAAACAACUAUUCAAAGUAGUUACAGACCACCGGUGAUUAGACACGCUGCUCUUGGAAAACAACAUAUACUGCGACUUCUGUAGAUGGAGUUAUAAAUACUACACGCUAGGGUUCAAUUCAAACUUGUCCACGAUCUAAUUUGGUCUGAGUGGUAAAUAGGCGGUACUAUUUUGCAAAUCCAUUUUCAUGAGUUACAGAGUUUUUAUCGAAAAACUGCGCAACAAAUCGUCACCCGGAUUUAUAGAAGCAAAUGGUAGUUGUGUGGAAAUCCUUCGUUCUCCUGGUAACAAAAUUAAUUGGGUAUUGUUUCCAUCUUUACUACUUG